GAUGAACGCUAGCGACAGGCUUAACACAUGCAAGUCGAGGGGCAGCAAGAAUUGUAGCAAUACAAUUUGUUGGCGACCGGCGCACGGGUGAGUAACGCGUGAGCAAUCUGCCUUCAAGAGGGGGACAACAGCUGGAAACGGCUGCUAAUACCGCAUAACAUAUAUUUGUGGCAUCACAGAUAUAUCAAAGGAGAAAUCCGCUUGAAGAUGAGCUCGCGACCCAUUAGCUAGUUGGCGGGGUAGAGGCCCACCAAGGCGACGAUGGGUAGCCGGACUGAGAGGUUGAACGGCCACAUUGGGACUGAGACACGGCCCAGACUCCUACGGGAGGCAGCAGUGGGGAAUAUUGCGCAAUGGGGGAAACCCUGACGCAGCAACGCCGCGUGAUUGAAGAAGGCCUUCGGGUUGUAAAGAUCUUUAAUCAGGGACGAAGGAAGUGACGGUACCUGAAGAAUAAGCUCCGGCUAACUACGUGCCAGCCGCCGCCGUAAAAC
Molecule: ribosomal RNA, 494 nt
Filed under: uncultured bacterium
Lineage: Bacteria
Description: bacterial SSU rRNA
Rfam family: Bacterial small subunit ribosomal RNA
Source: RNAcentral